RNAcentral lists this ribosomal RNA (253 nucleotides) under uncultured prokaryote. Its description in RNAcentral is "partial 16S ribosomal RNA". It matches the Rfam family "Bacterial small subunit ribosomal RNA", at positions 524 to 776 of the family's 1533-position model. The record is from RNAcentral.
UACAGAGGUCUCAACCGUUGUUCGGAUUCACUGGGCGUAAAGGGCGCGUAGGCGGCGCGGGUAGUCAACGGUGAAAGCUUGGGGCUCAACCCCGAGUCGGCCGUCGAUACUCCCGUGCUUGAGCACUGUAGAGGCAGGUGGAAUUCCGGGUGUAGCGGUGGAAUGCGUAGAGAUCCGGAAGAACACCGGUGGCGAAGGCGGCCUGCUGGGCAGUAGCUGACGCUGAGGCGCGACAGCGUGGGGAGCAAACAGG